This 446-nucleotide ribosomal RNA is filed under the name uncultured bacterium. Its description in RNAcentral is "partial 16S ribosomal RNA". It matches the Rfam family "Bacterial small subunit ribosomal RNA", at positions 338 to 795 of the family's 1533-position model. The record is from RNAcentral.
CCUACGGGAGGCAGCAGUCGAGAAUCAUUCACAAUGGGGGAAACCCUGAUGGUGCGACGCCGCGUGGGGGAAUGAAGGUCUUCGGAUUGUAAACCCCUGUCAUGUGGGAGCAAAUUAAAAAGAUAGUACCACAAGAGGAAGAGACGGCUAACUCUGUGCCAGCAGCCGCGGUAAUACAGAGGUCUCAAGCGUUGUUCGGAAUCACUGGGCGUAAGGCGUGCGUAGGCUGUUUCGUAAGUCGUGUGUGAAAGGCGCGGGCUCAACCCGCGGACGGCACAUGAUACUGAGGGACUAGAGUAAUGGAGGGGGAACCGGAAUUCUUGGUGUAGCAGUGAAAUGCGUAGAUAUCGAGAGGAACACGAGUGGCGAAGGCGGGUUCCUGGACAUUAACUGACGCUGAGGCACGAAGGCCAGGGGAGCGAAAGGGAUUAGAUACCCGAGUAGUC